GAUGAACGCUGGCGGCGUGCCUAAUACAUGCAAGUCGAGCGAACGGACGAGAAGCUUGCUUCUCUGAUGUUAGCGGCGGACGGGUGAGUAACACGUGGAUAACCUACCUAUAAGACUGGGAUAACUUCGGGAAACCGGAGCUAAUACCGGAUAAUAUUUUGAACCGCAUGGUUCAAAAGUGAAAGACGGUCUUGCUGUCACUUAUAGAUGGAUCCGCGCUGCAUUAGCUAGUUGGUAAGGUAACGGCUUACCAAGGCAACGAUGCAUAGCCGACCUGAGAGGGUGAUCGGCCACACUGGAACUGAGACACGGUCCAGACUCCUACGGGAGGCAGCAGUAGGGAAUCUUCCGCAAUGGGCGAAAGCCUGACGGAGCAACGCCGCGUGAGUGAUGAAGGUCUUCGGAUCGUAAAACUCUGUUAUUAGGGAAGAACAUAUGUGUAAGUAACUGUGCACAUCUUGACGGUACCUAAUCAGAAAGCCACGGCUAACUACGUGCCAGCAGCCGCGGUAAUACGUAGGUGGCAAGCGUUAUCCGGAAUUAUUGGGCGUAAAGCGCGCGUAGGCGGUUUUUUAAGUCUGAUGUGAAAGCCCACGGCUCAACCGUGGGGGGUCAUUGGAAACUGGAAAACUUGAGUGCAGAAGAGGAAAGUGGAAUUCCAUGUGUAGCGGUGAAAUGCGCAGAGAUAUGGAGGAACACCAGUGGCGAAGGCGACUUUCUGGUCUGUAACUGACGCUGAUGUGCGAAAGCGUGGGGAUCAAACAGGAUUAGAUACCCUGGUAGUCCACGCCGUAAACGAUGAGUGCUAAGUGUUAGGGGGUUUCCGCCCCUUAGUGCUGCAGCUAACGCAUUGAGCACUCCGCCUGGGGAGUACGACCGCAAGGUUGAAACUCAAAGGAAUUGACGGGGACCCGCACAAGCGGUGGAGCAUGUGGUUUAAUUCGAAGCAACGCGAAGAACCUUACCAAAUCUUGACAUCCUUUGACAACUCUAGAGAUAGAGCCUUCCCCUUCGGGGGACAAAGUGACAGGUGGUGCAUGGUUGUCGUCAGCUCGUGUCGUGAGAUGUUGGGUUAAGUCCCGCAACGAGCGCAACCCUUAAGCUUAGUUGCCAUCAUUAAGUUGGGCACUCUAAGUUGACUGCCGGUGACAAACCGGAGGAAGGUGGGGAUGACGUCAAAUCAUCAUGCCCCUUAUGAUUUGGGCUACACACGUGCUACAAUGGACAAUACAAAGGGCAGCGAAACCGCGAGGUCAAGCAAAUCCCAUAAAGUUGUUCUCAGUUCGGAUUGUAGUCUGCAACUCGACUACAUGAAGCUGGAAUCGCUAGUAAUCGUAGAUCAGCAUGCUACGGUGAAUACGUUCCCGGGUCU
RNAcentral lists this ribosomal RNA (1372 nucleotides) under uncultured bacterium. RNAcentral's name for it is "bacterial SSU rRNA". It matches the Rfam family "Bacterial small subunit ribosomal RNA", at positions 28 to 1381 of the family's 1533-position model. The record is from RNAcentral.